UUACCUCGCAAGGGGUAACUGAGUGGCGAACGGGUGAGUAACACGUGGGUGACCUACCUUCGAGUGGGGGAUAACGUCCCGAAAGGGACGCUAAUACCGCAUAACAUCCUGCCUUUGAACAGGUGGAGAUCAAAGCCGGGGAUCGCAAGACCUGGCGCUUGAUGAGGGGCCCGCGCCUGAUUAGCUAGUUGGUGGGGUAACGGCUCACCAAGGCGACGAUCAGUAUCCGGCCUGAGAGGGCGGACGGACACACUGGGACUGAGACACGGCCCAGACUCCUACGGGAGGCAGCAGUGGGGAAUUGUUCGCAAUGGGCGCAAGCCUGACGACGCAACGCCGCGUGGAGGAUGAAGGUCUUCGGA
This 362-nucleotide ribosomal RNA is filed under the name uncultured bacterium. RNAcentral's name for it is "bacterial SSU rRNA". It matches the Rfam family "Bacterial small subunit ribosomal RNA", at positions 72 to 422 of the family's 1533-position model. The record is from RNAcentral.